GAAUAGGAAAAAAGGAAUUGCAGAGACUUUUACUUCCAUACCAGAUAAUAGGUGUCUUCCCUUGGCCCAGAUAAAAGAGAACUAGCCUAAAGAUCUGAUUAUGCGGAUGACACCACAACUGCAACGCAAUGACUGGAUGUAAGCGAGUACUGUGAUGCCUUUACACUAAGCAUAGUGAUUGCUUUAAAGCAUGGACAUACAACCCAAGCCAGUUUCAUCAGGACCCUUCCCUUAGAAUUGCUCUAUGGACACUGGUGGAGAAUCAAUCUAUUCCUUUUAUCUCACAAGCUGUGAAGAUGAAAUCUGAGAAGAGCUGGUAGAUGUAUUUCCUAACUCAAGGAGAAAGCCUAUCUAUAUAUCCAUAAGAUAGGUGAGGCCAACCAGAAGAAGCCAUGAUAUGCUGGACUGAAAGAUGGUGAGAUUAUGAUGGAGCCAAAAACAAACACAGAGAUGGUGUUAGAGAAAUGAGAUAGAGUUAUAAUGAGAUUGUUUUGAUUAUGAAUCCAGCCCUGCCUAACAGCAAAUUUAUACUGAAUUAUGUAUCAGUAAAG
Long non-coding RNA from Tupaia belangeri chinensis (Chinese tree shrew), 551 nucleotides. RefSeq lists it as uncharacterized. NCBI's taxonomy places the organism in Eukaryota, Metazoa, Chordata, Mammalia, Scandentia, Tupaiidae. The transcript has 3 exons. The record is from RefSeq and is a predicted model, not a curated record.